UCCAGCCAUCCUGCAAUGUGAAUGUGUUGUCGAAGGCUUUCAAGGCCGGAAUCACUGGUUUGGUUGCUGUGGGUUUUCCGGGCUGUAUGGCCAUGUUCCAGAAGCAUGACGUUUCGCCUGCAUCUAUAGCAGGCAUCCUCUGAGAUUGUGGGUAAGAACAGACCACAGAACAACAGAUUGGUUCAAGAUUGGGAAAGGAGCCUUUCAAGGUGAAAGAAGACAGUGCAAAAGUUGGAUUGCAGUUAAACAUAAAAAAUAUAUUAUGGCAACCAGACUGAUUGAUAGCUGGCAAACAGAGGGAGAAAACAUGGAGGCAGUGACAGACUUCAUAUUUCUAAACAUGAAGAUUACUGCAGACACAGACUGUAGCCAGGAAAUCAGAAGAUAUUUACUUCUUGGGAGGAGAGCAAUGACCAAUCUCAAUAAAAUGGUGAAGAGUAGAGACAUCACACUGUCAACGAAGGUCCGCAUAGUUAAAGCAAUGGUCUUCCCUGUAGUAAUCUAUGGAUGCAAGAGUUGGACCAUAAGGAAGGCUGAGCGAAGGAAGAUAGACGCUUUUGUACUGUGGUGUUGGAGGACGAUUCUGAGAGUGGCUUGGACCACAAGAAGACCAAAUCAGUCCAUACUCCAGAAAAUAAUGAAGUACUUUGGCCGUAACAAUGCUACCUCUUCCCUCUCUUAAAGGCAACCUAUCAACUUUAUUGUUCUUUAUAUACUGCAGAAACCAUUUUCCUAAGGUCUAUUGAAGCAUGCAGUAUCCUUAUUGUUCUUUGCUUUGCAAGUCUAUAGCAGAAUAUUGGUUUAUACUGCCAGUAGUUGGUAUAUGGGUUCCACUGAAAUAAUAUCAAUACUAUGCUAUGCUUUGGUUUAAAUCAGGUUUAAACUUGAGCCCACCAGGUGAGAGUUGAAGUCCAAAACACCUGGAGGGCACAAGUUUGCCCAUGUCUGGUUUAAAUAGUAGGAAGAGAAAGAAAAUGCUUCUUUUAGCCACUGUGUGUCACUGUUACACUGGUGAAUAGUAGUUGUUGCUGUGCUGACCAAAUGAUUUCUGCUAACCCAAUUUAAACUUGACAUGAAAUCCGCAAACUUUGGAUUAAUCUACUCUUGAGCCACCACAAAUAGGAUGAGAGGAAGAUUCUAGCACUGUGCAGAGGAAAGAAUGAAUCGAAUCCUUUCCUUACAAAAAAAAAAGAAGUCACUGAAUUGUUCUGUUCAUUUGUGAAUCUAAUUCUAUUCCAUGAUAUAUAUUAUUAUCUCACAUCAAUUAAUGCAUUUGUGUAUUAAUUAUUCAAGAAGCUUGUGUGGUUCUCGUGCUCAUGUUUUAAAUCUCAAAACAACCCUUUGAGGUAAAAGAUGAUGGAAAAUAGUGAUCUGGCCAUAUUACCCAGUAUUUAUUUAUUUUUCAUGUCAGAAGUGAAUUAAGAAUACAGUUAUAAUGAAUAAAAAACACAAACAAAGUUAAAAACUUGGCAUUAUACUAAAUUUCCUUUGACCAGAAGCUGGCCACUGGGAGUGCCUCUGGUGUCGCUGUGAGAAGGUCGUCCAUUGUGCAUGUGGAAGGGUUCAGACCGUAUUGUAAUAUGUGGCCUGUGAUUUGCACUUCUCCAUACUCCACUUUGUAGCUGCAUUUCUGAAGAUUGACUCUGCAUCUCAUGGUGCCAGAGCGCAGUCUGUUCAGCGCCUUCCAAGUCACCAUUACCCAGUAAAUUUAAACAUUAGACAAAUGAAUGUGGGCUCAAACCUGCAAUUUUCUCAAUCCUGUUUUAAUGGUGUCAUACUCUCUGAAUUCUACUCUGCUGGCUAUAUAGAACAAAACUGAUUGUUCACAUUGUAAACUAAUACAUGUAAUACAUUUAAUUUUUUAAAAGUCAACAUUCAGUAAAAGAGCAUUUGCACCUCUGCUGUUGAGCUGAAAAUCCACAUUCUGCAACAAAUAAACUUUGCAACGCAUGCAUCAUCUGCACGCAUCAUUCGAAAAUACAUCACACAGUCCUAAAUGCUUGGGAAGUGUUCAAGUUAGGAUUUUGUGAUACAAAUGCAGCAUAUACAUCUUGUUUGCUGUGUCAUACUGUGUUUUUGUGUCAGUAUAAUAAUAAUAAUAAUAAUAAUAAUAAUAAUAAUAAUAAUAAUAAUAAGCGUUUCCCUCAAACAGAACAGUAUCUUUUCCUAUAAGUAUUCUUGUUAGGAAUUACAAACUGCAGAAUCCCUUUGUGUUAGAAGAGUAGCUGUAGUUGGUUGAAUUCCAUGUUUCUAUUCUAGUGAACAGAUAAAUCAGAGAUUUUGGGCAACUCACUAUUCGGCAUUUGUAAGCCACCUGGGUCCCAAAUUAAUAAUGAAGCUGGAACUAACCACAACGUAUGAUUUGAUGUAAUAUAAAUAUCAUCAAAAUUUUAAAAAAUCCUUUCAGAUUAUGGAUCCCAUUAACUUGCAAUCUGCUGUUAUUUAGAGCUUCAUUGAACAUGGGCUGUAUCUACACUGCUACAAAAGGCAGUUCAAAGUUGUAUUAUAUGGCAGUGUAGAUGGGGCCCAUGGAAAGCCCUUUACAAAAUGUGCGAACCCAAAUAUUUUUGGUUAAUUGGAUAACAUUAUUAGGUCUAAACUAGAAAUAUAACUAAUGAAUAAGGAAUGAAGAGCCACAUCUUUCAUGUUUGAUUACUCAUAUUACCUUCCACUGUGCGUGUAGAUCCCUCACCCUAUUUGCUUGAACUCCAGAUUGUAAUUUUAUUUAUUGAAAGCAUUUCAACCCAUCUACAGAUGGAAGAGUUCCUUAACAAAAUUUGCAGAUAAAUAAAGUGCAGCAGCCAUUCCAUCUGGUUGCAACAAGAACACAGAAGGAAAGCAGGGCCAAUAUGAGCCCUCCUGAGAAAGUAAUUUCAUCCGGUUUGGGCUCUCCUCAAUCUAGUGCCAUCCUAAUCUAGAUUACUCAGUAUAAUGCGUUAACGCCAUCAUGUACUGCUCAUGUAGAUCUCAGCCUGCAGCAACAGCAACUUUGGGUCAGAUGGUAGCAAUUUCCCGCUGUGUCACUGCCGGCACAUGAUAUAGCAAUGCACUGUACUGACACUGCCAAAAUGUUUGUUUUCUGGCUCACCACCAAAGGCAGAAGGAACUGGAAGCAUCCACUAAAUCUGACGUCAAGAGAAACACACUCUCAGGAUGUGUAAAAGCUUUUAUUUCCUAACUCAGAAAGCCCAAACAGAUUCAGCCUAGGAAUAUUUAUAUGAGUUUCUACAGAAUAGGGCAUAAUAUCUAUGUAAUAAUAAUUAUAGGCAAGAAAUAAAUGGAAGAAUUACAGAUCAAAAGCUCAGGCUUUUAAAGUAACUGUUAUGUUGUUUAUACCUUUGUUAUAUUGUUUUAAAUUACUGUUUUAAUUACUGUUGUAUGUAAUGCUAUGUUGUUGUUUUUGGGCUAGUCCCUUUGCGGAGAUGGAGGCGGGAUACAAGAAUAAAGUUGUUAUUAUUAUUAUUA
Anolis carolinensis (green anole) is the source of this 3465-nucleotide long non-coding RNA. RefSeq lists it as uncharacterized. The transcript is spliced from 2 exons. Lineage: Eukaryota; Metazoa; Chordata; Lepidosauria; Squamata; Anolidae. The record is from RefSeq and is a predicted model, not a curated record.